RNAcentral lists this long non-coding RNA (1539 nucleotides) under Equus caballus (horse). RNAcentral's name for it is "lncRNA (ENSECAG00000049865.1)". The record is from RNAcentral. Lineage: Eukaryota; Metazoa; Chordata; Mammalia; Perissodactyla; Equidae.
AACCAUGCCCCAGAGCAUUGGAUGAACGGCGUUUGCGUUAAUUAAUAAAUCAGAUGACAUCUCCGCUCAGCUGCAGGCUCUGCUGUGGAAACUCUCCCGGUGGCCUGGGAAAUGGUGACUGUGGAUUCCUGAUUGAUUACAGCUGUCGUGUCCUCUGUUAUUCAGUCCAACAAGUCAAUCAGCACAUCCUGAGCGUCUACCUGGCACUCACCUGGUUUUGUGAGGGGAGGGGGAGCGGACAUAGCACGAAGAAGGCAAUGUCUGCAUGCACGACUAACUAUAAUAAGCGGUGUUUACGAUCAAGCCACAAAAUUCUGCUGAGCAGAGAAGGGAUAGGUUAAUUGGGGGCAGCAAUCAGGAAAAGCCACACGGAGGAGCUGGAUCUUGAAGAUAAAGGUCAGAGUAUGACAGACAGCAUGGUCGGGCUUUCGGAUACUACGUGAGGGCGUGAGCAAAGACACAGACAAGCAUUUAGGGAGCAGAUGCAGCCCUUUCCCUGGGGAGAUUGGAGUACCUGGAAUAUGGUGAUCUUAGUGGCAGAGAGGCCUAGAAUGACUGGCUGGGACAGAGGGCAUUGGAGUGGGUGGUGAUGACUAGAAACAUGGUGAGGAAGGUCUUGACUUUAUUCCUUCUAGAGGCCACAGGGUGAGGGGACUGGCCUCGGAGCUUCGUGUGGCCACCGGGGCUGCAGGAACCAGGACACUGAUAACCACAGCCUUCAUGGCAGAUAUGGGGCCGGGAGGGCAGGCCCUGACCCUUGUAACCAAAUACCUCAGACAGGACCAUGCUGACAGUCCUGCUCAGUAAAUAUUUGCUGAUGACCAGCAUGACGACGCUUGGAGAAACUAACCCCCACCAAACUGUUCAGGAAAACAUUCUUCUUUCAUCACUGACCAAUGGAAUUUCUGUAUCCCAGAGAUGUUGUCUCAGGCAUGUGAGUUGAGGUCUGUGGAACUGUCAUAUGAUAGGGGUGAGGGCUGGGAAACAUCCAUCUUGGCUCCAGGGCCUCCUUUCUUCUGGGUGUGGGUCACCAGCACCCUCAUAGGGGCGACCUUCCUUUUUCCAUUCCAGUUUGAAAGCAGCAGUCUCCUGGAAGGCCCUCCCUCCCUCUGCGCAGGCUGGGAUCGUGUUUGUGCGUGAACUGAUGGGUAUUCUAUACCCCCUCUGCGCCCAACCCCACAAUACCCGCCUGUUCUCUAAGCACCAGCCCAAAGCCACUCCAGCUUCUCAGGUUUCAUAACUGCCCGGCGGACACACCUGGUCCUUCUUCCCCUGGGGCUGCAAGGUUGGAGGCCAAGGGGGCUCAUGGGAGAGAACCGCUUGGAAGCUGCCGACGUGGCGCUCCUGUGCCCUGUCUGGGUGUUGGGAAGCCUCACAGCUGCUGGGGCCAGCCGAGCCUCCCCCUCGCUGACUUGGGGCUUCUGUGUCAGGGUGUUGGUGAAGCGGCGUUUUGGCAAGAGCCUCGGCAGCUGCUGCCAGGAGGAGGCUGAAGGGAGAUAAUUAGACCUGGUAAUUGGUUUGCUUUUUGCUUUUUUACAG